GACGAACGCUGGCGGCGUGCUUAACACAUGCAAGUCGAACGGAAAGGCCCUGCUUUUGUGGGGUGCUCGAGUGGCGAACGGGUGAGUAACACGUGAGUAACCUGCCCUUGACUUUGGGAUAACUUCAGGAAACUGGGGCUAAUACCGGAUAGGAGCUCCUGCUGCAUGGUGGGGGUUGGAAAGUUUCGGCGGUUGGGGAUGGACUCGCGGCUUAUCAGCUUGUUGGUGGGGUAGUGGCUUACCAAGGCUUUGACGGGUAGCCGGCCUGAGAGGGUGACCGGGCAAGUGGGGAAUGAGAGACGGCACAGACGGAGAGGGGGGAGGGGGGGGGGGAUGAUUGAAGGACGGGCGGAAGCGGGAUGCGGAAAGGAGGGAGGAGGGAGGACGGCCGUGGGGUGGGAGCCCGAUUUCGGCUGGGAGGAGGGGUGAGGGAAGGUAAGGGGAAAGGAACAACAGGAUAACCACGGGCCAGCAGCGGCGGUAAACAUCGAAGAGCACACUUCUGAAC
This 508-nucleotide ribosomal RNA is filed under the name uncultured bacterium. RNAcentral describes it as "partial 16S ribosomal RNA". The stretch from base 20 to 327 matches the Rfam family "Bacterial small subunit ribosomal RNA", at positions 47 to 358 of the family's 1533-position model. The record is from RNAcentral.